GGCCUAUUCAGCAUUUCCCUGUGUCUCUAUAACUCUACUUGUAAUACUUGUCCAGAGAGACCCACACUCAUCUCAUACCCUAUAACAAACACCUGAGCAAAGCCAUACCAUUUUGCAGCAGUCUCCAGAGAGUGUGUUUUUGAAACUUUCCUGGGAGCAUCAAUGGCAGUGUUGGUGUUGGCUGUUGGGAUGUUUUUGGGAUUGUGUAUCUGCUUUGCUUUGUUCUUGAAAUGGAAUGAGAUAAGGUAUACGAGGAAAGGCUUGCCUCCAGGGACAAUGGGAUGGCCAGUUUUUGGAGAGACCACAGAAUUCCUCAGAUAUGGACCUGAUUUCAUGAAAAACCAGAGAGCAAGG
This 354-nucleotide unclassified non-coding RNA is filed under the name Hevea brasiliensis (rubber tree). The record is from RNAcentral. Lineage: Eukaryota; Viridiplantae; Streptophyta; Magnoliopsida; Malpighiales; Euphorbiaceae.